AGCAAAAGAAACCAACAGGGAUUGCCCUAGUAACGGCGAGUGAAGCGGCAACAGCUCAAAUUUGAAAUCUGGCUCUUUCAGGGUCCGAGUUGUAAUUUGUAGAGGGUGCUUUGGAGUUGACUGUGGUCUAAGUUCCUUGGAACAGGACGUCGCAGAGGGUGAGAAUCCCGUAUGUGGCCGCCAGUCUUCGCCGUGUAAAGCCCCUUCGACGAGUCGAGUUGUUUGGGAAUGCAGCUCUAAAUGGGAGGUAAAUUUCUUCUAAAGCUAAAUAUUGGCCAGAGACCGAUAGCGCACAAGUAGAGUGAUCGAAAGAUGAAAAGCACUUUGGAAAGAGAGUCAAAAAGCACGUGAAAUUGUUGAAAGGGAAGCGCUUGCAGCCAGACUUGCCUGUAGUUGCUCAUCCGGGCUUUUGCCCGGUGCACUCUUCUACAGGCAGGCCAGCAUCAGUCCUGGCGGUUGGAUAAAUGCCUGCUAAAUGUACCUCUCUUCGGGGAGGACUUAUAGUUUCAGGCGGCAUACAACCAGCCGGGAUUGAGGUCCGCGCAUCUGCUAGGAUGCUGGCGUAAUGGCUGUAAGCGGC
Molecule: ribosomal RNA, 580 nt
Filed under: Sporormiella lignicola
Lineage: Eukaryota; Fungi; Ascomycota; Dothideomycetes; Pleosporales; Sporormiaceae
Description: eukaryotic LSU rRNA
Rfam family: Eukaryotic large subunit ribosomal RNA
Source: RNAcentral